ACUUAGUUACAGACUAGGACAAGUUGCCAGAGCUCUACAGGCACGUCCCACAGCCGGGAGCAAGCUCCUCUGUGCUUCACUAAAAGUAAGACCAGAGGUGGGUGACAGCGCCAUGGAGGAUUAACAAGCAAGGUACUGGGGAAAAAAAGCCUGUAGCAGUAUCUAGAUCCUUUUCUGGAAAAAGAAAACAACACAACUCUACUUACUGUAAACAAACAUUUUUUUCUUCAGUGGCAGAAACUAAAACCAGAUAAACAGCUGUGGAUACAAUGAAAUUUUUGUGAAAUCUACCUCGCUUAGCAUUGAAGGAGCAACACAAAGCUACAAUUAAGAGUCUGCUGCAAGCACAAGAGGGCAGACUGAUACACAUUAUGGAUCUUGCAAACGACAGAGGUCUCAACCUGCUACUCAAUUUUCUGCUCAUUUUCUUGGUUCUAGUGCUCGCAUUUAUCCUUGUGAAGCUGAUGUGAACCUUUGUGAGGCUCUGCUUCCUUCUCAGACCUUGUUUUGAGGGCUUUGCAAUGAUAAUGCAGACACUUAAAAAUGUCUAAAUAUAAGCAUGCAAAGACUGCUGAGGCUGAAAUAUCUGACAGAGAAUGUGUUCCCACACCAAAUUUAUCAGAAAGCAAUCCUAAAAGCUGUGCACAACUAUCUACCUACCUUUGAGUGAAAAAAGCAUCUAGAGCCUUGCUGAGUACCUGAAGAAAUCCAACUAUGCAUCAGCAGCUAUGAUAGUUGCUCACUGUUGGAGCUGAUUGGUAUUUAAAGAUCUACAAAUUAUCUGCAGACUUCAAAGAACAUCAUUUCUGCAAAAGCAGAAAUCAAAAUUUUAAAAUGGGAUUUCUGUAGAACAUGUAUUUCAUGGGAAAUGACCCAGAUACAGCAGGAAGGCAAAACAAAAUGCCAACACUGAGUUGACAGCAUACAUCAAAUUACCUGUGGAGAGAAAAGCACGGAUGCUGUAGAUGGAAACAAAGUAGCUUGCAACUGAGAUGGGGAUAAGUGAAGGUUAAAUAUGAAAACAUAAUUAUUAGUUAUACCUUUUUCACCACCUAUGGUUCACUGCAACACCCUAAAAGCCAGAAGCCUUAGUGUUAUCCAGGAGCAUCAAAAGAAGCAGCUGUCAAAACAACUGAAAAACCAAUGACCAUUAAGCAGGGUUAUCACAACUCAGCCUAGGAAACCCUUAACACUGUCACAUACACAAGCAGUAGGUCCAUCUGCACAAACCCAACAAGUGUGUUACAGCCUCAGUAAGCUGGAUUUACCACUUAGGCACAGGUCAAGUGAGCAGUGUGGGAGCUCUCCAGCCAUAUUUGACAGACCACUUGCUGCUUGCCAGUGAAAUCAUCCAGUCCAUAACUUGUCCUCACUUGUAUGUAAAUAAAUAAACUUACAGGACCUUCUUCUGUGGCCCUUUACAGGAUGACGUACUUUCCCCACAGGUCCUUGGGAAGGACAGUGACCAACAAGAGCACACUUCUCUUGGAAUUAUUUGCUGAGAAGGCAGCUCUACAUAACCUGAGACACAUUAGCAAAGGAGAUGACCAGAAGCAGAUUUUCGUACAUUACAUUGGGGCCAAACAGCUUCCUCUUAGCACCUCACUUUUCCAAGUAAAACACGGGAACAGUGUGCACCAACACAUAUACAUUGUACAGUAAACUUAACGUCAUAGAUAUGCAUAUUAACAGUCUUUUUUUUGCACACAUGCAAAAGAAGCAGAUGUUGCUCAUUGGGUGGGGGAAGCCCCAGCUUCCAGCUUUCUGCUACCAGCAGCACAUCCCUGAUUCAGCACAAACACUGCUGAGAGCCAAGUAUGCUACAGAGUUCUAUUCACAUUCACACCCAGAAUUUCCAUAUGAUUACUGUUGUUCUGGGUGGCUGAGUUAUCUGGAAGAGACCAGUCUGAAUGGAUCUAUGGUAGACUUUACACAGGAAAAGGUAGUAUCCCCAGCAAACCAGAAAGUUUAUGCAAGUCCUACCAUUAAUAGUCAUCCACGUUCCAUUCUAUGCUACCUGCUCCAAAGCUUAGGCAGUGUUAGUGCACUGGUUUGGGUUGGAAUAAAGUUAAUUUUCUUCCUAGUGUAGUAGCUAGCAUGGGACUAUGGUUUAGAACAAGUCCAAAACAUAGUUUGCACCAGCUACUAUGAAGAAAAUUAACUCUACUCCAGUCAAACCAGCAUGAUUAGCUACAGUAGCCCGGAUAGUUAAAAUGAAAGCUUUUCUUUCACCUCCUCUGAAAUAUGUGCAAUAAACAUUUAAAAUAGCUUCUGCAAACUACACAUCCAUAGCUUUUUAAUGUUAAUAGUUAUAGUAGUAUGAAUUCCCAUCUGCUUGCAUUUAAAGCAGAAAACUUUGCACAGCUACAUCACUGUAAGCACUUUAUCAUUUAUUUUGAUAAUCUUGAAAUAUUCUGCUUAAAAAAACCCACAAAACUUGUAAAUUUAUAUACAAGGCAUAUACGUGAUAAUGGUUAUGUAGUUGUGUAUUGUUUAGGAGGAUUUCUCCUGAUGCUUGACAUAGAUGGCUCAAAGCACACCAAAACCACAGAAACAAAUAGGAAGUCCACUCUAGCCCAAGGUAGAAUAAAAACAGUUUUCCCAACAAGGUGGUUAUUUGCUGAUAUACUGCCUGGGACUAUAGAAAGCUUGUUGUCUGUAUGACCUUCCAUACCAUUCCAAAGUUUCCUUUUCUUAGGGAAACCACUGUGACAGCAGUUGGCCUUCACAGAAAAUAAAGUGACAUACUCCUUCUUAAUAACAUGAGAAAGAUGAGCCUAGUGCCACCAAAUAUCACAUAUUUCCAGAUCCAAUUACAUACAAGGGAAGUCUGCAAGAAACUCUGCCACUAGAGCAUGGAGAAACAAGACCAAGAAACAACCCCAGUAGCCUCCUCUCAGUCAGCAAUGAACAUUACAGAAUCCUCAAUAAAUGCUGAAACACACUGUUGACAUUGAAACAUGUAUUUUACUGAGAUGACACAUAAAGUUGGCAAAGUCAUCAGCUAACCAAUGCCAAGUCUCUCUUUUGCAAUCAAGCACAGUCCAAGUUUGGUUUCCUAUCGUCUGCUAGUGCUUACUCCACAUUGAACUCACAUAUGGACUAUAAAGAAUGGAAUCCCAUUUGCUGGGCUACCAACUUCACAGCAAAUGGAACAGACCAUAAAAACUU
Long non-coding RNA from Manacus vitellinus (golden-collared manakin), 3171 nucleotides. RefSeq lists it as uncharacterized. The record is from RefSeq and is a predicted model, not a curated record. Lineage: Eukaryota; Metazoa; Chordata; Aves; Passeriformes; Pipridae. The transcript is spliced from 3 exons.